CUGAGAUCAUGACCUGAGCCGAAGGCAGCGGCUUAACCCACUGAGCCACCCAGGCGCCCCAGGUUUUCUUUUUUAAAGUAAACUCUGUAUUCAACGUUGGGCUCUACCUUGUAACCCUGAGAUCAAGAGUUGCAUGUUCUACCGACUGAGCCAGCCAGGCACCCCAGUUUGCUCUCUAUCUAAAGUUAGGGUCCUCCUUUAUGGCAAUGAUUGCUUUACUGGCUUUAAGGAGCCCAGGCCUAAGUCAAGUUUGAAUUAACCCCUUGGUUGUGUCACAGGGGUGCUAUGAGUGCUUUUCCCCAAUAAUCCUGAGAAUCAGGAGUUCUGUCCUGUCCUGUCCGCUGAGCUUAGGUUCCUAACCGCUUCACGCAGCAACAUCUUACUCCCGUGGGCAAGAGUCAAUCAUCCUUGCAACUAUCACCCAGCAGUGCUGGCAGGGGUGGUGGUGAGGGGGGCAUCAGGUCAAUUUAUUUUGUGAGGCAGAUGAAAACACGGCAUGGGCUGGCUGUGUUUUACCCAGACCCACAGGGCCUGUUCUCAGUCACUGUGUUUCCUCCAGGAGUAACAACUGGUCUGAAGGGGGGGGGGAUUUCCCUUUCCUCUUUUUCCCUCUACUUUUCUCUAAGUCCCAGGGCCUGAUUGGUUAAGUGCCCAGAGAGGAGUCAUGGUGACUCACAAUGGUUCUCAAAACUUUGUGACCACAUGCAAUGAAUGGCAGGCUAUGGACACUGACUAACACCACCUGGGUUACUUCUGGUUCAGGGCUGAACACGGUGAGUGGGGGAGUGCCACGGGAAGGGGGGUCAGCUAUUACAGGUCCUAGGGUACCAUUUCCAUACCCGCUCCCUGCGAUGCACCACUCUGUCUUAUGUCAGACCUCUUCGCCGGAUGAUGCAAAAUCUCUCCGUGAACAUUUUCCCUGUGGGGCUCACCACACUGUCCUAACGGUGUUCAAUGCAUUUCAACAGGUCCACUGGGCAAUGGUCAGUGACUCUGGCCUCGAGAUCCAAUCACCCAGUGAGAGCGGCAAGGGAACUCAGUCCCAGUUCACAUCCAUGGCACAUGCCAUUGCACGGACCUCAGCCAAGUAGUCCCACGGCUGUAUUGUUGACAUUCGAGUGUGACCGUGUGGGUGUUGUCUGGAGGUAGGACAUGGGUUUUCACAGGAUGCUGGAGGACUGAUGGGGAGGACGGGAUUUUGUGUUUGCUGUAGAGCUACUGCACUGAGGGACGCAAAUGACUAUUAUGAGAUGUGAUUUGCCUCCCCACUGGCUGCCCCACUCAGUCUCACCUAACAGCUGAAGACUCAGGCACAGAGUGG
This 1321-nucleotide long non-coding RNA is filed under the name Mustela putorius furo (domestic ferret). RNAcentral describes it as "lncRNA (ENSMPUG00000027985.1)". The record is from RNAcentral. Lineage: Eukaryota; Metazoa; Chordata; Mammalia; Carnivora; Mustelidae.